Molecule: transfer RNA, 94 nt
Organism: Ascochyta rabiei
Lineage: Eukaryota; Fungi; Ascomycota; Dothideomycetes; Pleosporales; Didymellaceae
Rfam family: tRNA
About the family: Transfer RNA (tRNA) molecules are approximately 80 nucleotides in length. Their secondary structure includes four short double-helical elements and three loops (D, anti-codon, and T loops).
Source: Rfam
GCAUCGGUGGUUUAGUGGUAAAAUUAGCCGUUGCCAAGCCUUGCAAUAACAGGUCAGUUUCGGCUAGCCCCGGGUUCGAUUCCCGGCCGAUGCA